RNAcentral lists this ribosomal RNA (253 nucleotides) under uncultured bacterium. RNAcentral describes it as "partial 16S ribosomal RNA". It matches the Rfam family "Bacterial small subunit ribosomal RNA", at positions 524 to 776 of the family's 1533-position model. The record is from RNAcentral.
UACGUAGGGUGCAAGCGUUGUCCGGAAUUAUUGGGCGUAAGGAGCUCGUAGGCGGUCUGUCGCGUCGGAUGUGAAAAUCCAGGGCUCAACCCUGGACCUGCAUUCGAUACGGGCAGGCUCGAGUUCGGUAGGGGAGACUGGAAUUCCUGGUGUAGCGGUGAAAUGCGCAGAUAUCAGGAGGAACACCGGUGGCGAAGGCGGGUCUCUGGGCCGAUACUGACGCUGAGGAGCGAAAGCGUGGGGAGCGAACAGG